This 74-nucleotide small nucleolar RNA is filed under the name Amborella trichopoda. RNAcentral's name for it is "Small nucleolar RNA Z155". It matches the Rfam family "Small nucleolar RNA Z155". From Rfam's summary of the family: Z155 is a member of the C/D class of snoRNA which contain the C (UGAUGA) and D (CUGA) box motifs. Most of the members of the box C/D family function in directing site-specific 2'-O-methylation of substrate RNAs. Lineage: Eukaryota; Viridiplantae; Streptophyta; Magnoliopsida; Amborellales; Amborellaceae. The record is from Rfam by way of RNAcentral.
AAUUGAUGUGAUGAUAUUUGUGAUCUGAAUAAACGUGUUGACUGCAAUAUCAGACUACAAUUAUCUGAUCAAUC